Molecule: ribosomal RNA, 301 nt
Filed under: uncultured bacterium
Lineage: Bacteria
Description: partial 16S ribosomal RNA
Rfam family: Bacterial small subunit ribosomal RNA
Source: RNAcentral
CAGCCGCCGCGGGAAUACGUAGGGUGCAAGCGUUAAUCGGAAUUACUGGGCGUAAAGCGUGCGCAGGCGGUUAUAUAAGACAGAUGUGAAAUCCCCGGGCUCAACCUGGGAACUGCAUUUGUGACUGUAUAGCUAGAGUACGGCAGAGGUGGAUGGAAUUCCGCGUGUAGCAGUGAAAUGCGUAGAUAUGCGGAGGAACACCGAUGGCGAAGGCAAUCCCCUGGGCCUGUACUGACGCUCAUGCACGAAAGCGUGGGGAGCAAACAGGAUUAGAUACCCCCGUAGUCCCUGUCUCUUAUAC